Molecule: ribosomal RNA, 1199 nt
Filed under: Enterobacter sp. KDP6
Lineage: Bacteria; Pseudomonadati; Pseudomonadota; Gammaproteobacteria; Enterobacterales; Enterobacteriaceae
Description: bacterial SSU rRNA
Rfam family: Bacterial small subunit ribosomal RNA
Source: RNAcentral
UGCAGUCGAACGGUAGCACAGAGAGCUUGCUCUCGGGUGACGAGUGGCGGACGGGUGAGUAAUGUCUGGGAAACUGCCUGAUGGAGGGGGAUAACUACUGGAAACGGUAGCUAAUACCGCAUAACGUCGCAAGACCAAAGAGGGGGACCUUCGGGCCUCUUGCCAUCAGAUGUGCCCAGAUGGGAUUAGCUAGUAGGUGGGGUAACGGCUCACCUAGGCGACGAUCCCUAGCUGGUCUGAGAGGAUGACCAGCCACACUGGAACUGAGACACGGUCCAGACUCCUACGGGAGGCAGCAGUGGGGAAUAUUGCACAAUGGGCGCAAGCCUGAUGCAGCCAUGCCGCGUGUAUGAAGAAGGCCUUCGGGUUGUAAAGUACUUUCAGCGGGGAGGAAGGCGGUGAGGUUAAUAACCUCAUCGAUUGACGUUACCCGCAGAAGAAGCACCGGCUAACUCCGUGCCAGCAGCCGCGGUAAUACGGAGGGUGCAAGCGUUAAUCGGAAUUACUGGGCGUAAAGCGCACGCAGGCGGUCUGUCAAGUCGGAUGUGAAAUCCCCGGGCUCAACCUGGGAACUGCAUUCGAAACUGGCAGGCUAGAGUCUUGUAGAGGGGGGUAGAAUUCCAGGUGUAGCGGUGAAAUGCGUAGAGAUCUGGAGGAAUACCGGUGGCGAAGGCGGCCCCCUGGACAAAGACUGACGCUCAGGUGCGAAAGCGUGGGGAGCAAACAGGAUUAGAUACCCUGGUAGUCCACGCCGUAAACGAUGUCGACUUGGAGGUUGUGCCCUUGAGGCGUGGCUUCCGGAGCUAACGCGUUAAGUCGACCGCCUGGGGAGUACGGCCGCAAGGUUAAAACUCAAAUGAAUUGACGGGGGCCCGCACAAGCGGUGGAGCAUGUGGUUUAAUUCGAUGCAACGCGAAGAACCUUACCUACUCUUGACAUCCAGAGAACUUUGCAGAGAUGCUUUUGGUGCCUUCGGGAACUCUGAGACAGGUGCUGCAUGGCUGUCGUCAGCUCGGUGUUGUGAAAUGUUGGGGUUAAGUCCCGCAAACGAGCGCAACCCUUAUCCUUUUGUUGGCCAGCGGGUUAGGCCGGGAAACUCAAAGGAGACUGCCAGUGAUAAACUGGGAGGAAAGGUGGGGGAUGGACGUCAAGCCAUCAUGGCCCCUUACGAGUAGGGCUACACACGUUGCUACAAUGGC